CCAAAGUUGCAUCCAACCCGAGAAGGUCAAACAACAAUGCUUAAUCCAGGAUGGUACUAUCCCUGGACAACCAAGACGACUGGAGUCAGAUUCCACUCUUCCACCGCAAAGCUAGCCGUCUUCACAGCGCACAGAUAGAUGGAAGUUGUUUGCUCUGCUCCAAUCCAGAAAAGGGAUCACACAACGCAGAUGAGUGAAGCCCUUGAAGAAGGCCUUGAUAGCUGAGACGAAAGCCUGGAAGAAACUGUUCAAGUACCUAAAGGAGAAGUACAAAAAGAAAAUGAUUGACACAAGCAUAAAUACUAAUAAAUAACUUCAUACCACUAUCUCGUCCGGUGGCUAAUUUGAAAGAUGUGCGUUGUGCCAUGGGGGCCCUGUCUAAGCUUUAGGAUGCUGAAAUCCAAACUGAUAUGACAUUGAUAUCCAUUGAGGAAGCGUUUCAAAUUUUGACUGAAUAUGAAGCAGAGGUGACUAAAAGAGAAGCAGAGAGUGUCUACAAUCUGAGGCAUUUCUUCACAAAGCUUCAGUCUAAAGCGAGAUCAGUGCAAGAGGAUCUUGUCCAUAUGCAGCCCAAGUUCAAACACACCCUUCUAGAUUGUGUGGCCAUUUUCCAAAAUAAUGUUGACAUUUUUGUGAAACAAUGUGAUUCAGUGCCCAAAGCUACCCAAAGGAUUGAAGGACUGGCAAGCCUUCCAAGACCUGAAGAUGACGAUUGAUGAUUUCAGUGAGUCAUGCCCUCUGCUUGAGAUGAUGGCAAGCAAGUCUAUGAUGAGGAGACACUGGCCCCGAAUUACAGACCUGACUCUGCACCAAUUUGAGGACAUCUGCAUAUCAUCUGUGAAGGAGAAGGAUAUUGAGGCCAAGUUGUCUUAAGUGAAAGAAGUUUUGUCCAGCCAGAUUCGGAGCUUGAUGACGUCUAGGGAUAGAGGAGAACUGAUGCUGUAAGGAACAGAUACAGUAGAGAUUCUCACCAUGCUGGAGGAUUGUAUGAUGGUGUUGGGGUCACUGCUGAGCAACAGGAACGACGCAAAUUUGGACCAUGGGUUUGGAACAUACCAUAUGAGUUCAACUCUGCUGAUUUCACUGCAAGUGUUGAAUUCAUUGAGCGACACUUGGAUGAUUGCGGCCCCAGGAAGGUUAGAAUUCUGCAACAGUGGUCUAACUUUUAUACAUAAUAUAAAUAUUUUACAUAAUGUUAUGCUUUCCUACAUGAUGUGUCCUGGGUAACUGUGUGGUACAUGCUAGCUGAGGUGCAAUAUGAAAGAAGCGUUACAGAUGACUAUGACAAACGCCUACUCAAUAGUUUUUUUGAGUGUAAUAAUCCCAUUUUUGUAAUCAUUCAUGCAUGCAUGCAUUCAUUCAUUCAUCUCCUUAAUCAGUUUCAUUUAGUCUGCUACAAUACAUGAGAAUGGGUGUUUUUUAAUUGCAGGUGUGGUUCAGUAAAAAGGUGUUUGACCCCAUAUUCUGCACAGGCUACAAAAUUCCAGUGUGCAAGACAGUAGAGGAGUACAUGGAAUGUAUUCAGAGCUUGCCCACUGUGGAUUUGCCCCAGGCAUUGGGGCUGUAUUCUAAUGCUGAUAUCACGUAAGAAAACAUUGACCAAAAACUAUUAUUAAAGCCACUCUUACUUUGGAGUCUCUUAAACAAUAACUGAAAAAGAUACUGUGCUUAUAUUGUGUUAUUAGCGUUCAAACCGCAAAGCGGUAGAACCCUUCUAUGUUUGUCUGUUUUAGUUAUUGUUAUUAUUUGUUGUCUGCUGCGCCAACUGAAAUUCCUGUAAGCUGGAAUGAGCUAGAAACAUGAAACUUGGGUCAAUAACUGAAAAUGGUGUGCAUGUGCUUCUGUAGAAAUAUGAACCCAAUCGGCCACAUGGUGGCACUGUUAUUAAGGCUUCAACAUGCAAACUUUGAAAGGCCUUGCCCCCCACACAUAAAAAAACACCAGAGGGUGUGUGCCAAUUACAGGGGUAUCACACUUAUCAGCCUCCCUGGUAAAGUCUACUCCAAGGUGCUGGAAAGGAGGGUUUGGCUGAUAGUUGAACCUCGGAUUGAAAUGGAACAAUGCGGAUUCCUUCCUGGUCGUGGAACAACGGAUCAGAUCUUCACUCUCGCAACGAUCCUGGAGGGAGUCUGGGAGUAUGCCCAACCGGUCUGCAUGUGUUUUGUGGAUCUGGAGAAGGCAUAUGACCGGGUCCCCCGGGAGAUACUGUGGGAGGUGCUGCAGGAGUAUGGGGUGAGAGGGUCCCUUCUCAGGGAAAGUGGUUAAGGUUAGGAUAGCCGAUUGGUAAGGGGAUUGGACCAAAUGAGAUUAAAUCACAGCGAUUUCUCAGGAUCCAGAAUGUGUUGCAAUGAACACAAAACAAUCUGUUACUCGCCCAGCAAGGUAAACAACUGCUAAAAAGUACUACGGACUGAACUACAUUUGCACAUAAAAUAAGAUUAUUACAAAAGAUAUCAACCUUAAAACUGUUCACAAUCUUCCCUUUAGUAAAGUUCUAAAAAAGCAAUAACAUAACAGAAAUUGGAGGUCUGCACUACAGCCUAAUCUUUGAAAACCCCUUUUUACAAAUAUAACCUGACAAAGAGAAGGACACUCACUAGCACUCACUGAUAUGGUUACUUAAGGCCAGCGUUACGUAUUAGUUAAGGUUAAGAUGAGUAACAGGAGUUGAAUUUUGCAAUGAAUGCAAAUCUAAACCCUUAACGUGUCCCAGAGCAUGUCAUGCAUAUGUGUGUAAGGCAGGGAUGGGGAGUGCUUUUUGAGUGACAUGUCCUUUUUCCCAAAGUGAAUACUGGGCCGAAGACGAGCAACUGGCGCCAGCCAUCAAAAUCCCUCCUACCCUCUAAGUGAUCCCCAAUUAUGUCAACGGGGGUAAAUGGUGUCCCUUUGAAAAGUGUUCUUAAUCAAACCCAAUUAUUUCCGCUCUUUUCCCUUAUUAUUUCCACCAUGGACCACAUCCCGCUAGUCAGCCUGUUAACUAGAGCCUGGGCCCCAGCGAAGGUCACGCUUGGCCAAGCAAAAUAACAUAAUAAUGUGUGUAAUUAAUCACCAGUUCUGAGUGUGUCUCAAGCAAAUUCUGGAUGAUGCUACAUUAAGUCUUUCUGGCAAAGGUGAGGUGACAAAGGUUAUAACUAAAUAUAGCACAGUCUGACACUUUUGAUUUACAUCUUUUCCCCUGAUUUAUUGUGCCAAACUGCAGAAGCAUAUACAUGGUAUGAAUGUUUAGCAAUUGCUUUACCUAAAGGGUAACAAUUAGGAGCUAGGCAGUAAGAGAAAUAACUUUGUCUGUUAAUGUGUCCUAUCCUGGGAAAUUAUUUUCCUAGUGUAGAGGUCCUAAGAAGUAGCCUAAGAAGCCAGACCAAAAUCAAGAUGUUGGGUCAGGGAACUCACCAUUGGCAGGGCUAAAUCCGAGGGGCGGGAUAAACGAUUGUCAUUCAAAUUCCCUCUGCACGCAGUAGGAUAGCGUUACAACCAACCAGAGCAACCAGGGGCGGAUUGGCCAUCUGACAAUUCUGGCAAGUGCCAGAGGGGCCGGACCAUUUUUAAAAUGUGGGCCGGUCAGAUUUUUUUUUUAAAUAUACAAAUAAAUUGUCUUUACAGGCCGACAGCGUAUAUGAUGGUCUUUUAUCACUUGCAUGAUUUCACUUCGGUUAUAAUAAUAAUAAUUAUAUUAAUAAUAAUAAUAGUAAUAAAUAUUAAACAUUUGGCCAGUUGGCAACAGCCAUCCUGGUCCCGAGAUGGGCCGACCGAUCCAAUCAGAGGUUAAUCUGGGGGGGCCUCUGCUGACUGGUGCAGAGCAUUGUUGGCGCUCCAACUGCUGUCCGUCUGCUGUCUGUAUGCAUGAACUGUGGUGGUCAAUUACACUGUAGGUUAUGUUCAACAUCGCUGAUAAUGUUUGAUCAAUAGAAUGUAGAAAACAUUACACUUCACAGCGUUUUGUAUCCAUAAUAUGAUUGUGUUGUACAAUUUGGCGGUAAAAGCAAUAGCCUAUAUGUCAAUCCUACAUUUCUGGGAGCAAUACGUGCUCCUUGGGGGGAAAAAAAGUUACCAUAAGCCAUAGUUCAUGCUGACAUAACAACUGGACUUUGGAGUUAAGGGUUUUUGUAUCUGUCCCAUGUCCCGGAUGUGAAAGCCCCCUUAUUGGACUACUAAUAUUUAAUUAUAUUUUGUAUUUUUAAUUGUUACCUGCCACCAGAAUUGUGAUUUCCCUUGCCGUAAAUAUAUACGUUUUUACCAUAAAUUUGUGCAUAAAAAUUAAUGCAGAAUGCAGUCUUUUAUCCUCAAAAUCCCCCAUCUCUCCCUGCAAAUUUGCUGCGGUUAGUGUGCGUCUAGAUUUCUAGGCUACCUAAGAAGGCCUCCAUAUUAUUUGGUAAACCUUUAUCAUUUAAUUUUUAUUAUGACCCUAUCUUGCUGACUUACACAAGUCUUACACAAUGGGUAUGUAUGGACAGGAAGCAAGUUUCCCCACUCACUAAGACUUGAAAACAUGUUUCUUUUUUCUAAAGUUACCACUUUCCCAACAGUUUCUCUUAUUGUCCCUCCUGCCUCGCUGAUAGUGCUAUUCAUGCUCUGAUGCAGACGUUAUCAAAUCAAAUAAACCUAACCCUGCAAGAGGAAUAGUUUUUAAUUUUUACCUCUCUCCCUUGGGGAAUCUUUGCACACCAUUUUUCCUUUGAAAUAUAAUGCACAGCUCUAUUUCAGUAUAUAACAAUUCUAUACUCCAAACUCUAAAUCUAUUUUACUAAAGAUAGAAGCUGUGAAGCAAAAAGUUCUGUAACAAUAAAGUGGGUAUUGAGUUUAAGUUGUGACUACCGAUAAUGUUGCAAUGUUCUUGGACACAAAAUAGACCUCCCUUACAAUCCUCCAUCCAAAAAUAAAUUGGAGCCACUAAACCAAACAGACUACUGGAGGGCAAUUAGAACUUGAGCCCUUGUGGCCUCUGCAGUCUAGCAGGCGGGGCCUCCUGACACCCCUUGUUGGGCCUGAUGGAGUGGAGCUUCAUCUGCCUAACGGCCUGGCAAAGCUCCACAGGCCUCCAUCAGGCCAACUUGCUCUGUCACAG
Molecule: long non-coding RNA, 5062 nt
Organism: Etheostoma spectabile (orangethroat darter)
Lineage: Eukaryota; Metazoa; Chordata; Actinopteri; Perciformes; Percidae
Exons: 7
Source: RefSeq, a predicted model, not a curated record